RNAcentral lists this transfer RNA (71 nucleotides) under Fusarium pseudograminearum CS3096. RNAcentral describes it as "tRNA-Arg (TCG) (tRNA-Arg-TCG-3-1)". It matches the Rfam family "tRNA". From Rfam's summary of the family: Transfer RNA (tRNA) molecules are approximately 80 nucleotides in length. Their secondary structure includes four short double-helical elements and three loops (D, anti-codon, and T loops). Further hydrogen bonds mediate the characteristic L-shaped molecular structure. tRNAs have two regions of fundamental functional importance: the anti-codon, which is responsible for specific mRNA codon recognition, and the 3' end, to which the tRNAs corresponding amino acid is attached (by aminoacyl-tRNA synthetases). tRNAs cope with the degeneracy of the genetic code in two manners: having more than one tRNA (with a specific anti-codon) for a particular amino acid; and 'wobble' base-pairing, i.e. permitting non-standard base-pairing at the 3rd anti-codon position. The record is from RNAcentral. Lineage: Eukaryota; Fungi; Ascomycota; Sordariomycetes; Hypocreales; Nectriaceae.
GGCCGCGUGGCCUAAUGGCUAAGGCGCUAGAUUUCGGCUCUAGAGAUUCCAGGUGAAUCCUGGCGUGGUCG